UACGUAGGGGGCAAGCGUUGUCCGGAAUUAUUGGGCGUAAAGCGCGUGUAGGCGGUCCACUAAGUCAGGGGGGAAAUCCUGGAGCUCAACUCCAGAACUGCCUUUGAUACUGGGAAUCUCGAGUCCGGGAGAGGUGAGUGGAACUGCGAGUGUAGAGGUGAAAUUCGUAGAUAUUAGCUAGAACACCAGUGGCGAAGGCGGCCAACUGGUCCGGUACUGACGCUGAGGUGCGAAAGCGUGGGGAGCAAACAGG
Molecule: ribosomal RNA, 253 nt
Filed under: uncultured bacterium
Lineage: Bacteria
Description: partial 16S ribosomal RNA
Rfam family: Bacterial small subunit ribosomal RNA
Source: RNAcentral